RNAcentral lists this ribosomal RNA (494 nucleotides) under uncultured bacterium. Its description in RNAcentral is "partial 16S ribosomal RNA". It matches the Rfam family "Bacterial small subunit ribosomal RNA", at positions 29 to 505 of the family's 1533-position model. The record is from RNAcentral.
AUGAACGCUGGCGGCGUGCCUAAUACAUGCAAGUCGAGCGAACAGACGAGGAGCUUGCUCCUCUGACGUUAGCGGCGGACGGGUGAGUAACACGUGGAUAACCUACCUAUAAGACUGGGAUAACUUCGGGAAACCGGAGCUAAUACCGGAUAAUAUAUUGAACCGCAUGGUUCAAUAGUGAAAGACGGUUUUGCUGUCACUUAUAGAUGGAUCCGCGCCGCAUUAGCUAGUUGGUAAGGUAACGGCUUACCAAGGCGACGAUGCGUAGCCGACCUGAGAGGGUGAUCGGCCACACUGGAACUGAGACACGGUCCAGACUCCUACGGGAGGCAGCAGUAGGGAAUCUUCCGCAAUGGGCGAAAGCCUGACGGAGCAACGCCGCGUGAGUGAUGAAGGUCUUCGGAUCGUAAAACUCUGUUAUUAGGGAAGAACAAAUGUGUAAGUAACUAUGCACGUCUUGACGGUACCUAAUCAGAAAGCCACGGCUAACUACG